This 72-nucleotide transfer RNA is filed under the name Camelus bactrianus (Bactrian camel). It matches the Rfam family "tRNA". From Rfam's summary of the family: Transfer RNA (tRNA) molecules are approximately 80 nucleotides in length. Their secondary structure includes four short double-helical elements and three loops (D, anti-codon, and T loops). The record is from Rfam by way of RNAcentral. RNAcentral also lists the same sequence under 2 other names. Lineage: Eukaryota; Metazoa; Chordata; Mammalia; Artiodactyla; Camelidae.
GAGGGGAUAGCUCAGUGGUAGAGUGCAUGCCUAGCAUGCACGAGGUCCUGGGUUCAAUCCCCAGUCACUCCA